GCUGGGCAUGGUGGCUCAUGCCUGUGAUCCCAGCACUUUGGGAGGCCAAGGUGGGUGGAUCACUUGAGGUGAGGAGCUCGAAACCAGCCUGGGCAACAUGGUGAAACCCCAUCUCCACUAAAACUACAAAAAUUAGCUGGGAUUAUAGGCACCCGCAACAAUGCCCAGCUAAUUUUUGUAGUUUUAGUGGAGAUGGGGUUUCACCAUGUUGCCCAGGCUGGUUUCGAGCUCCUCACCUCAAGUGAUCCACCCACCUUCU
Molecule: signal recognition particle RNA, 259 nt
Filed under: Papio anubis (olive baboon)
Lineage: Eukaryota; Metazoa; Chordata; Mammalia; Primates; Cercopithecidae
Description: Metazoan signal recognition particle RNA (ENSPANG00000044513.1)
Rfam family: Metazoan signal recognition particle RNA
About the family: The signal recognition particle (SRP) is a universally conserved ribonucleoprotein. It is involved in the co-translational targeting of proteins to membranes.
Source: Rfam by way of RNAcentral